CACAGCUGGAUCCCGCGCACUGGAGCCUCCAGGUCCUGCCCCGAGAUGCAGCCCUCCCCGCCUGCCUCUCCUUGAGGGGUGCCUGCUGCCCCUCCCUGGCCAGACGCUCAGGACCACGGGUGCUUGUGCCCCACAAGGUUUCAGGGACUGCAGAAUGUCUCCCGGGCAGAGGGGAGGGACUCUCCAGGAAGCCCGAGCUUCAGCCCUCAGCCCUGUUCCAG
RNAcentral lists this long non-coding RNA (221 nucleotides) under Homo sapiens (human). Its description in RNAcentral is "HSALNT0170935". Lineage: Eukaryota; Metazoa; Chordata; Mammalia; Primates; Hominidae. The record is from RNAcentral.